CAGUACUACUGUACGUGGUAAUAAUUAACUCGAAAUGGCAUUUACGACGCUGAGAUGUGAUGUGUGCUGCUUUCCCUCAUCCCUCCAGCAAACAGGACGUACUGACUCUGAACAGGCCUUCGGUCUUCAGAUGUAGUGACUUGGCCAAGGUCACAGAGAAAAUGGGUAACAGAUCUCCUGCUUCUCACCUGCAGCUUUUGCUAUGUGCUCAGCAGCUAGUGACUAGACCAUCCCUCAGCAGGCAGCAGCAACAGCCAGAAAUCUAGAUUCCUGAGGACGUGACAUCAGUGAUUGAGCUCAGACCCUGUGCUAUGCCCGUUAUCUACAUCAGCUCGUUUUUUUUUUUUAAUUUAAAAGCUAAUGAUACUAUCAGCGAUAGCCAAAUUAUGGAAAGAGCCCAAAUGCACAUCAACUGAUGAAUGGAUAAAGAAGAUGUGGUAUAGAUAUACAAUGGAAUAUUACUCGGUGAUCAAAAACAAUGAAAUCUUGCCAUUUGCAACUACGUGGAUGGAACUAGAGUGUGUUAUGCUAAGCGAAAUAAGUCAGUCAAAGAAAGACAAAUAUCAUACGAUUUCACUCAUGAUUGGAAUUUAAGAAACAAAACAGAUGAACAUAGGGGAAGGGAAGCAAAAAGAAGAUCAAAACAGAGAGGGAGACAAACCAUAAGAGACUCUUGAAUAUAGAGCACAAAUUGAGGGUUGCUGGAGGGGUGUUGGGUGGGGGGACGGGGUAAAUGGGUGACGGGCAUUAAGGAGGCCCUUGUGGGGAUGAGCACUGGGUGUUCUAUGUAAGUGAUGAAUCACUAAAUUCUAUUCCUGAAAUCAUUAUUACACUAUAUGUUAACUAACUUGGAUUUUAAUUUUAAAAAAUAAAAAUAAAAAGCUACUGAUAGGGUGGGGUGCCCGUGUGGCUGA
Long non-coding RNA from Neofelis nebulosa (Clouded leopard), 914 nucleotides. RefSeq lists it as uncharacterized. The record is from RefSeq and is a predicted model, not a curated record. The transcript is spliced from 2 exons. Lineage: Eukaryota; Metazoa; Chordata; Mammalia; Carnivora; Felidae.